GAUGAAGAACGUAUCGAAAUGCGAUAAGUAAUGUGAAUUGCAGAAUUCAGUGAAUCAUCGAAUCUUUGAACGCACAUUGCGCCCGCCAGUAUUCUGGCGGGCAUGCCUGUUCGAGCGUCAUUUCAACCAUCAAGCCCCCGGGCUUGUGUUGGGGACCUGCGGCUGCCGCAGGCCCUGAAAAGCAGUGGCGGGCUCGCUGUCACACCGAGCGUAGUAGAUUUUAUCUCGCUCUGGGCGUGCUGCGGGUUCCGGCCGUUAAACCACCCUUUUAACCCAAGGUUGACCUCGGAUCAGGUAGGAAGACCCGCUGAACUUAAGCAUAUCAAUAAGCGGAGGA
RNAcentral lists this unclassified non-coding RNA (337 nucleotides) under soil metagenome. Its description in RNAcentral is "partial contains 5.8S ribosomal RNA, internal transcribed spacer 2, and large subunit ribosomal RNA". The stretch from base 1 to 120 matches the Rfam family "5.8S ribosomal RNA", at positions 35 to 154 of the family's 154-position model. The record is from RNAcentral.